AAAUCAAGAAGUUUUGUGCGGGCUGUGAGACAGAGCCAGAUUCUUGGGUUUUGUUAGAAGGACAAGUUAUUGCAAAGUUAGUUCUUGAGAAACACUGUGCCGGGAGAGGAGCAAAGUAUUCUGGAUCUAGUGCAAUCUGCACAUGCUGAGAGGUUCGUGAGAUGCGGCGGAUAACUGUGUGGCCUGACAACCACUGGAGAAGUGUCAGGGUUGCCCUUCAAACCUCCUCAAAGAUAUGCAAGGGUCCCCUGGCAUUGCACAGCCACACG
Long non-coding RNA from Pristis pectinata (smalltooth sawfish), 269 nucleotides. RefSeq lists it as uncharacterized. Lineage: Eukaryota; Metazoa; Chordata; Chondrichthyes; Rhinopristiformes; Pristidae. The transcript is spliced from 3 exons. The record is from RefSeq and is a predicted model, not a curated record.